RNAcentral lists this ribosomal RNA (350 nucleotides) under uncultured bacterium. RNAcentral's name for it is "bacterial SSU rRNA". It matches the Rfam family "Bacterial small subunit ribosomal RNA", at positions 568 to 898 of the family's 1533-position model. The record is from RNAcentral.
CGCGUAGGCGGCCGAGCAAGGUCGCGGUGAAAGCCCGGGGCUCAACCCCGGGUCGGCCGUGGCAACUACUCGGCUCGAGCUCUGUAGGGGCGGGUGGAAUUCCGGGUGUAGCGGUGGAAUGCGUAGAGAUCCGGAAGAACACCGGUGGCGAAGGCGGCCCGCUGGGCAGGAAGAGGGAGCAAUCCCUCGGCUGACGCUGAGGCGCGACAGCGUGGGGAGCAAACAGGAUUAGAUACCCUGGUAGUCCACGCCGUAAACGAUGGGCACUAGGUGCUUGGGGGAGCGACCCUCCGAGUGUCGGCGCUAACGCAUUAAGUGCCCCGCCUGGGGAGUACGGCCGCAAGGCUGAA